AUUGAACGCUAGCGGGAUGCUUUACACAUGCAAGUCGAACGGCAGCGCGGACUUCGGUCUGGCGGCGAGUGGCGAACGGGUGAGUAAUGUAUCGGAACGUGCCCAGUAGCGGGGGAUAACUACGCGAAAGCGUAGCUAAUACCGCAUACGCCCUACGGGGGAAAGCAGGGGAGCGUAAGACCUUGCACUAUUGGAGCGGCCGAUAUCGGAUUAGCUAGUUGGUGAGGUAACGGCUCACCAAGGCGACGAUCCGUAGCUGGUUUGAGAGGACGACCAGCCACACUGGGACUGAGACACGGCCCAGACUCCUACGGGAGGCAGCAGUGGGGAAUUUUGGACAAUGGGGGCAACCCUGAUCCAGCCAUCCCGCGUGUGCGAUGAAGGCCUUCGGGUUGUAAAGCACUUUUGGCAGGAAAGAAACGUCGCGGGCUAAUACCCCGUGGAACUGACGGUACCUGCAGAAUAAGCACCGGCUAACUACGUG
This 484-nucleotide ribosomal RNA is filed under the name uncultured bacterium. Its description in RNAcentral is "partial 16S ribosomal RNA". It matches the Rfam family "Bacterial small subunit ribosomal RNA", at positions 30 to 507 of the family's 1533-position model. The record is from RNAcentral.